AAAAUUCACCUUUUAGUUUAAAAUCAAUUUGUUGAUCACAAAAGACAUUUUGUCCCUCUCUAUCUCCUGUUAGCUUCCACACCCUGGCCCACAUCAACCUGCAUAAACACACAGACCUUGUGCAGAUGGCAGAGACAUUCUACAUCAAAGACAAGGGAACUCUUUGGGAUGAAGAAAAGAGAAGUGUCUGGAGGGAUAUCAUGCAGGAGGAUUGUGACACCAAGCUCUUGAUAGGAUUUAUGAUUUCCAAGCCUGAUGUGAUCUCCCAGGAGGAACAAGGGAAAAAGUCAGGUGCUCUGACUCUCCAAGACUCCAAGAAAAGAGAAAUCUUUAGAGGCACCUGCACUGCAGAUGAUAGGAUCAUCACUGAAGAGGUCACUCCUCAGCAGGAAGGUCCUGAAAAGACAGAACCACACUGGACAUUAGCUGGGAGACCAGCACGGGAUAUUGCCCAGAA
Long non-coding RNA from Dermochelys coriacea (leatherback sea turtle), 457 nucleotides. RefSeq lists it as uncharacterized. The transcript has 4 exons. The record is from RefSeq and is a predicted model, not a curated record. NCBI's taxonomy places the organism in Eukaryota, Metazoa, Chordata, Testudines, Dermochelyidae.